This 522-nucleotide ribosomal RNA is filed under the name uncultured bacterium. RNAcentral's name for it is "bacterial SSU rRNA". It matches the Rfam family "Archaeal small subunit ribosomal RNA", at positions 345 to 866 of the family's 1478-position model. The record is from RNAcentral.
AACCUCCGCAAUGUGAGAAAUCGCGACGGGGGGAUCCCAAGUGCCAUUCUUAACGGGAUGGCUUUUCAUUAGUGUAAAGAGCUUUUUGGAAUAAGGGCUGGGCAAGACCGGUGCCAGCCGCCGCGGUAGCACCGGCAGCUCUAGUGGUAGCAGUUUUUAUUGGGCCUAAAGCGUCCGUAGCCGGUUUAAUAAGUCUCUGGUGAAAUCCUGUAGCUUAACUGUGGGAAUUGCUGGAGAUACUAUUAGACUUGAGACCGGGAGAGGUUAGAGGUACUCCCAGGGUAGAGGUGAAAUUCUGUAAUCCUGGGAGGACCGCCUGUUGCGAAGGCGUCUAACUGGAACGGUUCUGACGGUGAGGGACGAAAGUUAGGGGCGCGAACCGGAUUAGAUACCCGGGUAGUCCUAACUGUAAACGAUGCGGACUUGGUGUUGGGGUGGCUUUGAGCUGCUCCAGUGCCGAAGGGAAGCUGUUAAGUCCGCCGCCUGGGAAGUACGGUCGCAAGACUGAAACUUAAAGGAAGU